This 67-nucleotide transfer RNA is filed under the name Squatina squatina (angelshark). RNAcentral's name for it is "tRNA-Ser". The record is from RNAcentral. Lineage: Eukaryota; Metazoa; Chordata; Chondrichthyes; Squatinidae.
AAGAGAGGUCUGGGACACAAAGAACUGCUAAUUCUUCUUACCGUGGUUCAAAUCCACGGCUCACUUA